Molecule: ribosomal RNA, 504 nt
Filed under: uncultured bacterium
Lineage: Bacteria
Description: partial 16S ribosomal RNA
Rfam family: Bacterial small subunit ribosomal RNA
Source: RNAcentral
GAUGAACGCUAGCGGCAGGCCUAAUACAUGCAAGUCGAACGGGAUCUGAGGGUAGCUUGCUACCCGAUUUGAGAGUGGCGCACGGGUGCGUAACGCGUGAGCAACCUACCCAUAUCAGGGGGAUAGCCCGAAGAAAUUCGGAUUAACACCGCAUAACAAUACGUUAACACAUGUUAAUGUAUUUAAAUAUUUAUAGGAUAUGGAUGGGCUCGCGUGACAUUAGCUAGUUGGUAAGGUAACGGCUUACCAAGGCGACGAUGUCUAGGGGCUCUGAGAGGAGAAUCCCCCACACUGGUACCGAGACACGGACCAGACUCCUACGGGAGGCAGCAGUAAGGAAUAUUGGUCAAUGGACGCAAGCCUGAACCAGCCAUGCCGCGUGCAGGAUGACUGCCCUAUGGGUUGUAAACUGCUUUUGUUAGGGAAUAAACCUACUUAUGUAUAAGUAGCUGAAUGUACCUAAAGAAUAAGGAUCAGCUAACUCCGUGCCAGCCGCCGCGGUAA